CCUACGGGAGGCAGCAGUGGGGAAUAUUGGGCAAUGGAGGCAACUCUGACCCAGCAACGCCGCGUGAAUGAUGAAGGUCUUCGGAUUGUAAAGUUCUGUGAUGGGGGAUGAACACAAUGACGGUACCCCAAUAGCAAGCCACGGCUAACUACGUGCCAGCAGCCGCGGUAAUACGUAGGUGGCGAGCGUUAAUCGGAAUUACUGGGCGUAAAGGGUGCGCAGGCGGUUGAGUAAGACAGAUGUGAAAUCCCCGAGCUUAACUCGGGAAUGGCAUAUGGGACUGCCCGACUAGAGUGUGGCAGAGG
RNAcentral lists this ribosomal RNA (305 nucleotides) under uncultured bacterium. RNAcentral's name for it is "bacterial SSU rRNA". It matches the Rfam family "Bacterial small subunit ribosomal RNA", at positions 338 to 657 of the family's 1533-position model. The record is from RNAcentral.